UACAGAGGGGGCAAGCGUUGUUCGGAAUUACUGGGCGUAAAGGGCGCGUAGGCGGCCUGUUAAGUCGAACGUGAAAUCCCUGGGCUCAACCCAGGAACUGCGUCCGAUACUGGCAGGCUUGAAUCCGGGAGAGGGAUGUGGAAUUCCAGGUGUAGCGGUGAAAUGCGUAGAUAUCGGGAGGAACACCAAUGGCGAAGGCAGCUCGCUGGGACGGUACUGACGCUGAGACGCGAAAGCGUGGGGAGCAAACAGG
RNAcentral lists this ribosomal RNA (253 nucleotides) under uncultured bacterium. RNAcentral describes it as "partial 16S ribosomal RNA". It matches the Rfam family "Bacterial small subunit ribosomal RNA", at positions 524 to 776 of the family's 1533-position model. The record is from RNAcentral.